CUAUGAUCUGAAAUAAGAUCAUGGCAAAAGGAG
This is a non-coding RNA of Lactobacillus kalixensis DSM 16043, 33 nucleotides long. Lineage: Bacteria; Bacillati; Bacillota; Bacilli; Lactobacillales; Lactobacillaceae. The record is from Rfam.